RNAcentral lists this transfer RNA (87 nucleotides) under Sphingomonas sp. Its description in RNAcentral is "tRNA-Leu". It matches the Rfam family "tRNA". Rfam says of the family: Transfer RNA (tRNA) molecules are approximately 80 nucleotides in length. Their secondary structure includes four short double-helical elements and three loops (D, anti-codon, and T loops). Further hydrogen bonds mediate the characteristic L-shaped molecular structure. tRNAs have two regions of fundamental functional importance: the anti-codon, which is responsible for specific mRNA codon recognition, and the 3' end, to which the tRNAs corresponding amino acid is attached (by aminoacyl-tRNA synthetases). tRNAs cope with the degeneracy of the genetic code in two manners: having more than one tRNA (with a specific anti-codon) for a particular amino acid; and 'wobble' base-pairing, i.e. permitting non-standard base-pairing at the 3rd anti-codon position. RNAcentral also lists the same sequence under 31 other names. Lineage: Bacteria; Pseudomonadati; Pseudomonadota; Alphaproteobacteria; Sphingomonadales; Sphingomonadaceae. The record is from RNAcentral.
GCGGUCGUGGCGGAACUGGUAGACGCGCAACGUUGAGGUCGUUGUGUCCGAAAGGACGUGGAAGUUCGAGUCUUCUCGACCGCACCA